This 862-nucleotide long non-coding RNA is filed under the name Anas platyrhynchos platyrhynchos (common mallard). RNAcentral's name for it is "lncRNA (ENSAPLG00000024269.1)". The record is from RNAcentral. Lineage: Eukaryota; Metazoa; Chordata; Aves; Anseriformes; Anatidae.
GCGCCCCGCCCGCCGCCGGGCCCCGGGGCAGGGCGGCGGCCGCGGGGCUGGGGAGCGGCCGCGGGCAGCAGGCGGGGAGCCCCGGGGGGGGCAGCGGGCGAGUCGGGGUCUGGCCCCUGCGGCUGCCCCCUUACCCCGCCGCCCCCUCCCCACUCACCGCCGCGGCGCCCUUAGGCCCCGGCUGCGACAUGUCGGCGCUCGGCGAAGCCCGGCCCGCCUCUUCCUCCCCCUUUGGGCGGUGGCGGCGGGGGGCUCCGGCCGCCCCGGGGCGGGACGGGGAGGUGUGGACAGGCUCCGGGGGUGGUUUUUGGGGAGGGAGCGCUGAGAGCCCUCCUGGGCGCCGUUAACGCCCGCCCCGGGGGCUUGAGUCACCGACACUCGAGGCUCGGAGCCCCUCUCCCCCCGGCCACCAGCCUGACAGGAAUAAUCUCAGACUGCCCAGAAACACGGUGCCCAAAUCCGUCAGGGAUUGCUCAUGGUCACGCAAAGCUGCUGGAAGCCACUCUCUGGUGCACAAACCAAAGAGUGCAGUCAUUUCUGGGAGUCAGCAGAGGUUCCAGGCAACUAAGAUCCAUCUGCAAUUACUGCUCAAGAAGCCCAAGACAGAUGCAAGUAGAGUUUAUAACUAAUCCAAAAGCAAAAACAAAACCAACACUGGAAUAUUUUAUAUGUUGAAUUUAUAAAUAGUGUAUUUAUACAUAACAUAUAUGUUUUUAUAUCUAUGGUAUAUUUUUAUACAUAUGUGUGUGUAUGUAUGUAUAUGUGUCUGCCUUGCAAUGAUUUUACACAAUUCUAUGAUAUAAUGCACUAGAACACUAACCAUGAAUCCCAGGUAAAAUAAAAGACUAAUGACUGAAUAUCA